Molecule: long non-coding RNA, 1837 nt
Organism: Onychomys torridus (southern grasshopper mouse)
Lineage: Eukaryota; Metazoa; Chordata; Mammalia; Rodentia; Cricetidae
Exons: 5
Source: RefSeq, a predicted model, not a curated record
GCACUGUGCUGCUGCUGCCUGCCCACCCCAAGUGUGGAAAUGGAAAUGGCCUAAUAGAAUUCCAGCCCUGGUGAGGAGCCAUGGAAGGGACUCAAGACAGAUCACCAGAGCACCAGCUCCCUCCAACCUAUGGCAACACGCACCUGCAUCCAUCCUGCAGCUAUUGGGUCUGAGCUGCCACUUUCCAUCUCCUUCAGCUUACUCCAGGUCCAGCACUAUUGCUGAACGAAGAGGUGGUCAUAAGGCACAGGCUGUGCUUGUAGGACCACUCCCACUGCAUGGAAAACAGCAGCUUCUACAACCAGGAGUGACUUUUACACCAAUCUCGGCUGCUCAUCAUCUUGGUCACUUUAACCCCUUGAACUUAUUCUGUGACUGCCUUUUGGAAAGAACAGUAAGACCUGUCCUCCUUCAUUCAGGCUUCCCAUGUUGCCUCCCAUCUCCUGGUCCUAGAAUCUUGCUUCAUUUUUCCAGUGUUCUGCUGCAAUGUGGGAAGUUGGCAUCCAGCUCCAUUCUGACCAUCUGACCCUGGACUGUUAGCAAACACUGGUGCAAACUAAAGGCUGUGGCCAGAACUUCUUCCCAGUGGAUGAUAGCCAGCUUGUGCUGUCACUUACUUCUAGAACCCUGACCAUCUGACUGGAUCUCACUGUAUAGCCCUGGCAUUCCUGAGACUCUGUGUAGAACAUGCAGCUCUCAACUUCACAGAGCUCGACCACCUGCCUCUAACUCCUGAGUGUUGCAAUUACAGAUGUGCACUGCCAUGCCUCACUUCAGUACAUCAAUGGUAAGUUCCUCCAGACAUCUGAGGCAGAAUUAGACAAGUUCUGUGCUUCUUUCAUCUUAACAGGGUCAGGGAUUAAACCAAAGGUACUUUCAUCCUGGACAGACUAGAAACAGCAGCAAACUCCAAAUCUAACCUUCAGAAUAGAAGUCUAUGUCCACCAGUGAACAUAUACCUGGAUGUGAGAAGUGCCUUCAUGAAUUCUUCUGGGGACCCAAGUCAGUGGGCUGGGGAGUUACACCCUAGCUGAUACAUCCUUGGAAGCAAGGCACAGAGCAUGUAAAUGCUGCUUCCUAACCUGGUUUUCACAGGAUCCCUACCUGCAGUCCAGGUAUGAGUCACAUGACUUCAACCUGACCAAUCAGCAGAGUCCAGAUUGGUUACCUGGAUUGAGUUCUUUCUGUUUGAGGCAUCAGAUCACAGCUGAGGACUCAAGGUGGGUCACUAAGACAGCUGGUGCCUGUCUUGGGAUGUUGAAAGCAGGGCUUUCACUUUAAGGACACCAGUGGCAGAGGCAAUGCAUGAAGUCACAAAUUCUAGGUAGGCACUUCUAGUUCUACUCAUCUGACACUCAGAUACUGUAUGCUUGGCUGUUGACUUCCAUGUCUACUCUUGCUCAUGGGUCCCAGAGUGCUUUUGUUAUUUGUCAAAACCACUUUGGGUUAGAUUUUAGGCCACUGAACCUUGUUCAUACUCCCUGGCUAAUGGAGAACACAGGGCUGCAGGUUUCUGGAUUCUGAACCAACUAGGACUCUGUGCAGCCCACUCUGGACAGUCUGUGAAGAUAGAGGUGAUCUGCCCCUCCUGGUUGUAGACCAUCCCAGGAAGACCUCUGUCUUGUUCCAUGUCCUUAGUGUUCUGUUUUUCAUGUUCUAGCUCUUACAUACUGCCAGAUGUUGCAUGUGAAAGAAAACAGUGAUCUUUGUCUUUGGGGAAAUUCUAUUCACAUAUAACGCAGUCAUCCUCAGUUGUAUCCAUUUUCUGAAAAAUGUCUAAAUUUCAUUCUUGAGGGUGAAUAUGUGUUUUUUGCCCUGCAUGGUCUUUAUUUAUUUG